UAUUUUUUAAAAAUAAUGUGCAAUUGAGCUUGAAUUACGGUAUUAGAAACGUAGCGGAUAUAAUUUGAAAGGUCACAUAAUUCUAUGAAUGGGAUAGUAAAUUAAUUGGGUCAUAGUGCUUGACGGCUUGCAAUAUUUAACUUACUCAUCCGCCUUAUCAUCACAUUUUUUUGUAUCAUAUUCCAGAAAUUUUUGAAAAAGACAUUAUUUAUCGGAUAAAUUUUGUAGUUUAUAAUUGCAAAGUGGAUAUUGAAAUAGAAUUAGCCAGAGAUGUAGAUAAUCUAUUCGUCUCUGAAUUAGCCGAUAAUUAGGUUAAAUGAAUCCGACAACUUCCGGUAUAUUUUUUGACCUACUUCACGAGCAUAAUUAUCAGCCUGUUAAGCUCAUAAGGGAAAUAAAAGAUCAUUUACUUUAAUAUUCACUUGGAAAGGCUGGUACAUGUAGCUAGAAAAAAGUACAGUAUAAGAUUAAACAAAGACUAGAAGAUUAUUACAAACAACAGGUGGACAUGUGUCACUGUCAAGCGAAUGAAGAUAAGCAUCACACUCGGUGGGAAUCUCCAGUUUCCAGAUGUAGUGAUCAUAACUGUAUAGGCACCAUUAACACUUUGGACUAGUUGGAGUAUUUUAGAGGGCUAGUCUGAAUUGAAUCCCCUGUCAAUAGUAAAGGCCAGUCAUGAACAUUGUGUUGAUGGAAAAUGUUAAAACUCGGAUUUCCCGCUUAACCAAUCAUUACUUUACCUUAUAUUCAGUGCGGUAAUGUAGGAAAUGGUUACUUUCUGGAACGGAGCUGUCAAUUAUUUUUAAUUUUUGUGUCGCCUUGAAAAGGUGACAUAUAGGGGUUACUUUCGUCGGCGUCUGUGUCGGCGUCGUUGUCGGCGUCGUUGUCGGCGUCCCCUAAAGCUUGUCCGGAGCAUAACUCAGUCACUAUAAGUCUGAUUGACUUCAAACUUGGUAUGCAUGCUUCUUUCAAUAACCCGAAGUGCAGUGCACAAGGACCGGUACUCUGCAGUUCUUAUUUUUUGAGUUAUUGCCCUUUGUUAAUUUUCAUACAUUAAUUUUGUCCGGGCCAUUUCUCUUCAACUAAAAAUGCUAUGGACUUGAAACUUCAUAGGAUGAUAGAUCUCAUUAAGAAGAAAUGCAGUGCACAAGAACCAGUACUCUGCACUUCCUAAUUUUUGAGUUAUUGCCCUUUGUUAAUUUUCAUACUUUAUUUUUGUCCGGGCCAUUUCUCCUAAUGUAUAAAAGCCAUGGACUUGAAACUUCAUAGGAUGAUAGGUCUCAUUAAGAAGAAGUGCAGUGCACAAGAACUGGUACUCUGCAUUUCUUAUUUUUUGAGUAAUUGCCCUUUGUUUAUUUUCAUACUUAAAUUUUGUCCGGGCCAUUUCUCCUUAAAUAUAAAAGCUAUGGACUUGAAACUUCAUAGGAUGAUAGAUCUCAUUAUUAAGAAGUGCAGUGCACAAUAAUCGGUACUGUGCAUUUCUUAAUUUUUGAGUUAUGGCCCUUUGUUAAUUUUCAUACUUAAUUUUUGUCCAGGCCAUUUCUCCGAAAGUAUAAAAGUUAUGGACUUGAAACUUCAUAGGGUGAUAGAUCUCAUUAAAAAGAAGUGCAGUGCAUAAGAACUGAUACUCUGCAUUUCUUAUUUUUGAGUUAUUGCCCUUUGUUGAUUUUCUUACUUUAUUUUUGUCCUGGUCAUUUCUCCUCAAGUAUGAAAGCUAUGGACUUGAAACAUCAUAGAAUGAUAGAUGUUAUUGAUAAGAAGUGCAGUGUACAGAAACUGCUGCUUAGACUGCACUUAUUAUUUUUUUAGUUAUUGCCCUUUGUUAUUUUUCAUAUUUCAUUUUUGUCCUGGCCAUUUCCCCUAAACUAUAUUGUUCACAAGGCGACACAUCCGACUCGCGGAGUUCUAGUUUAGCUUGUUAGUGUUAUCGUCGGACAGUUGUGAAGUAAAGACAUCGCAGUUUGACUGUAUACAAGUUGCCUUAAAGAAAGUAUGUCGAAAUCUUAACAGUUAUUCGUUGAUUUUGUAGAAAUUGACCAGAAUUCACCUUUGUUUACACGCAUCGCUUGGACGUCGAAAACGACAUGCAAUGACAUUUCAGUGAAAUUUGGAAACUUGCUCGUAUUUUGGAGCAUUUUGUAGGAUUUCGAUGAAGUAAAAAGUGUUUAUGAUAGGAUACAUUAUUCCUAGAGACAACCACAAAAAUAAAAUAGUGAUCUGGUGUAUUUUUACCGAACAGUUCUUGUUUGUUUUGCAUGAUAUUUUUCUCUCGUUAGGGACCUUUAUUCUUUAUAUAUAGUAUUAUGAGCGUAUAUGGGUAAAUGUGGUAUAUAGUGCCUGUGGUUUUAUCAUGUAUCUUAGCUUGCCUGGUGUAAUGAUAAGUAAUAAACCUGAGAAUUGAAACUA
Ruditapes philippinarum (Manila clam) is the source of this 2406-nucleotide long non-coding RNA. RefSeq lists it as uncharacterized. The transcript is spliced from 3 exons. Lineage: Eukaryota; Metazoa; Mollusca; Bivalvia; Venerida; Veneridae. The record is from RefSeq and is a predicted model, not a curated record.